This 497-nucleotide ribosomal RNA is filed under the name uncultured bacterium. RNAcentral's name for it is "partial 16S ribosomal RNA". It matches the Rfam family "Bacterial small subunit ribosomal RNA", at positions 28 to 507 of the family's 1533-position model. The record is from RNAcentral.
GAUGAACGCUGGCGGCGUGCCUAAUACAUGCAAGUCGAGCGAACAGACGAGGCGCUUGCUCCUCUGACGUUAGCGGCGGACGGGUGAGUAACACGUGUAUAACCCACUUAUAUGACUGGGAUAUCUACGGAAAACCGGCGCUAAUACCGGAUAAUAUAUUGAACCGCAGUGUUCAAUGGUGAAAUACGGUUUUUGUGUCACUUAUAGCUGGUUCCGCGCCGCAUUAGCUAGUUGGUAAGGUAACGGCUUAUCAAGGCGACGAUGCGUAGCCGAGGUGAGAGGGUGGUCGGCCACACUGGAGCGGGGACAGGGCCCAGAGUCCUAAGGGAGGCAGCAGAAGGGAAUCUUCGGCAAUGGGCGAAAGCCUUACGGAGCAGCGCGGCGUGAGUGAUGAAGGUCUUCGGAGCGUAAUACUCGGUUAUGAGGUAAGAACAAAUGUGGAAGUAAAUAUGCACGGCGUGACGGUAACUAGUCAGAAAGCCACGGCUAACUACGUG